This 468-nucleotide ribosomal RNA is filed under the name uncultured bacterium. Its description in RNAcentral is "SSU rRNA". It matches the Rfam family "Bacterial small subunit ribosomal RNA", at positions 26 to 518 of the family's 1533-position model. The record is from RNAcentral.
AGGACGAACGCUGGCGGCGUGCUUAACACAUGCAAGUCGAGCGGAAAGGCCCUUCGGGGUACUCGAGCGGCGAACGGGUGAGUAACACGUGAGUAAUCUGCCCCUAGCUCUGGGAUAGCUCCGGGAAACCGGGAUUAAUACCGGAUACGACCACCUUAGACAUCUUUUGUGGUGGAAAGAAUUUCGGCUAGGGAUGAGCUCGCGGCCUAUCAGCUUGUUGGUGGGGUAACGCCCACCAAGGCGAAGAUCGGUAUCCGGCCUGAGAGGGCGCACGGACACACUGGAACUGAAACACGGUCCAGACUCCUACGGGAGGCAGCAGUGGGGAAUUUUGCGCAAUGGGGGAAACCCUGACGCAGCAACGCCGCGUGGAGGAUGAAGCCCCUUGGGGCGUAAACUCCUUUCGACCAAGACGAUAAUGACGGUACUGGUGGAAGAAGCACCGGCUAACUCUGCGCCAGCAGCCGC